Molecule: ribosomal RNA, 253 nt
Filed under: uncultured bacterium
Lineage: Bacteria
Description: partial 16S ribosomal RNA
Rfam family: Bacterial small subunit ribosomal RNA
Source: RNAcentral
UACGUAGGUGGCGAGCGUUGUCCGGAAUUACUGGGUGUAAAGGGCGUGCAGGCGGUUAUGUAAGUCGGAUGUGAAAUUCCACGGCUCAACUGUGGGACUGCAUCUGAAACUAUGUAUCUUGAGUGCUGGAGAGGGAAGCGGAAUUCCCAGUGUAGCGGUGAAAUGCGUAGAUAUUGGGAGGAACACCAGUGGCGAAGGCGGCUUUCUGGACAGCAACUGACGCUGAGGCGCGAAAGCGUGGGGAGCAAACAGG